UAGCGACAGGCCUAACACAUGCAAGUCAGGGGCAGCACAAGGAGCAAUCUGAGGUGGCGACCGGCGGCACGGGUGAGUAACACGGUAUGCAAACCCUGGACCCUGGUAAGCCGGGAAAUAACCCGUUGAAAGACGGACUAAUACCGCAUAAUACUAAAUUACUGCAUGGUAAUUUAUUUAAACAUUUAUGGCUUACAGAUGGGCAUGCGCAUGAUUAGCUAGUUGGAGAGGUAACGGCUCCCCAAGGCAACGAUCAUUAGGGGUUCUGAGAGGAAGGUCCCCCACACUGGUACUGAGACACGGACCAGACUCCUACGGGAGGCAGCAGUGAGGAAUAUUGGUCAAUGGACGAGAGUCUGAACCAGCCAAGUCGCGUGCAGGAAGAAUGUCCCUAUGGAUUGUAAACUGCUUUUGCAGGGGAAUAAAGUGCAUCACGUGUGAUGUUUUGUAUGUACUCUGCGAAUAAGGAUCGGCUAACUCCGUGCCAGCAGCCGC
RNAcentral lists this ribosomal RNA (495 nucleotides) under uncultured bacterium. Its description in RNAcentral is "bacterial SSU rRNA". It matches the Rfam family "Bacterial small subunit ribosomal RNA", at positions 37 to 518 of the family's 1533-position model. The record is from RNAcentral.